Molecule: ribosomal RNA, 253 nt
Filed under: uncultured bacterium
Lineage: Bacteria
Description: partial 16S ribosomal RNA
Rfam family: Bacterial small subunit ribosomal RNA
Source: RNAcentral
UACGUAGGGGGCAAGCGUUGUCCGGAUUUAUUGGGCGUAAAGAGCGUGUAGGCGGCCGUACAGGUCAGCUGUGAAAACUCGAGGCUCAACCUCGAGACGUCGGUUGAAACCGUACGGCUAGAGUCCGGAAGAGGAGAGUGGAAUUCCCGGUGUAGCGGUGAAAUGCGUAGAGAUCGGCAGGAACACCCAGGGGGAAACCAGCCGACUGGGCAUCUGCUGACGCUGGGGUGCGAGAGCGUGGGGAGCGAACCGG